CCUACGGGAGGCAGCAGUGAGGAAUAUUGGUCAAUGGACGCAAGUCUGAACCAGCCAUGCCGCGUGCAGGAAGACGGCUCUAUGAGUUGUAAACUUCUUUUGUACGAGGGUAAAUCCCGAUACGUGUAUCUGUUUGAAAGUAUCGUACGAAUAAGGAUCGGCUAACUCCGUGCCAGCAGCCGCGGUAAUACGGAGGAUUCAAGCGUUAUCCGGAUUUAUUGGGUUUAAAGGGAGCGUAGGCGGGUCUAUAAGUUAGGGGUGAAAUCCCGGGGCUCAACUCCGGCACUGCCUCUGAUACUGUCAGGCUAGAGUUUAGUUGCGGUAGGCGGAAUGUAUGGUGUAGCGGUGAAAUGCAUAGAGAUCAUACAGAACACCGAUUGCGAAGGCAGCUUACCAAACUACGACUGACGUUGAGGCACGAAAGCGUGGGGAGCAAACAGGAUUAGAUACCCGAGUAGUC
RNAcentral lists this ribosomal RNA (460 nucleotides) under uncultured bacterium. Its description in RNAcentral is "partial 16S ribosomal RNA". It matches the Rfam family "Bacterial small subunit ribosomal RNA", at positions 338 to 795 of the family's 1533-position model. The record is from RNAcentral.